Molecule: ribosomal RNA, 468 nt
Filed under: uncultured bacterium
Lineage: Bacteria
Description: partial 16S ribosomal RNA
Rfam family: Bacterial small subunit ribosomal RNA
Source: RNAcentral
GACGAACGCUGGCGGCGUGCUUAACACAUGCAAGUCGAACGGCAAGGCCCUGCUUUUGUGGGGUGCUCGAGUGGCGAACGGGUGAGUAACACGUGAGUAACCUGCCCUUGACUUUGGGAUAACUUCAGGAAACUGGGGCUAAUACCGGAUAGGAGCUCCUGCUGCAGGGUGGGGGUUGGAAAGUUUCGGCGGUUGGGGAUGGACUCGCGGCUUAUCAGCUUGUUGGUGGGGUAGUGGCUUACCAAGGCAUUGACGGGUAGCCGGCCUGAGAGGGUGACCGGCCACAUUGGGACUGAGAUACGGCCCAGACUGCUACGGGAGACAGCAGUGGGAAAUAUUGCACAAUGGGCGGAAGCCUGAUGCAGCAACGCCGCGUGCGGGAUGACGGUCUUCGGGUUGUAAACCGCUUUAGCCUGUGACGAAGCGUGAGUGACGGUAAUGGGUAAAGAAGCACCGGCUAACUACGUG